GAUGAAGAACGCAGCGAAAUGCGAUAAGUAGUGUGAAUUGCAGAAUUCAGUGAAUCAUCGAAUCUUUGAACGCACAUUGCGCCCCUUGGUAUUCCAUGGGGCAUGCCUGUUCGAGCGUCAUUUGUACCUUCAAGCUCUGCUUGGUGUUGGGUGUUUGUCUCGCCUCUGCGUGUAGACUCGCCUCAAAACAAUUGGCAGCCGGCGUAUUGAUUUCGGAGCGCAGUACAUCUCGCGCUUUGCACUCAUAACGACGACGUCCAAAAGUACAUUUUUACACUCUUGACCUCGGAUCAGGUAGGGAUACCCGCUGAACUUAAGCAUAUCAAUAAGCAGAGGA
RNAcentral lists this unclassified non-coding RNA (337 nucleotides) under soil metagenome. RNAcentral describes it as "partial contains 5.8S ribosomal RNA, internal transcribed spacer 2, and large subunit ribosomal RNA". The stretch from base 1 to 120 matches the Rfam family "5.8S ribosomal RNA", at positions 35 to 154 of the family's 154-position model. The record is from RNAcentral.